This 450-nucleotide ribosomal RNA is filed under the name uncultured bacterium. Its description in RNAcentral is "partial 16S ribosomal RNA". It matches the Rfam family "Bacterial small subunit ribosomal RNA", at positions 338 to 795 of the family's 1533-position model. The record is from RNAcentral.
CCUACGGGGGGCUGCAGUAAGGAAUAUUGGUCAAUGGAGGAAACUCUGAACCAGCCAUCCCGCGUGAAGGAUGAAGGGGCUCUGCCUUGUAAACUUCUUUUGUCUGGGGCGAAAAAGCUCGAUUUAUCGAGAACUGACGGUACCAGAAGAAUAAGCACCGGCUAACUCCGUGCCAGCAGCCGCGGUAAUCCGGAGGGUGCAAGCGUUACUGGGAAUCACGGGGGCUAAGGCGUGUUUAGAAGGCUUAGUAGGAUGGCUGUGGCUUAACCAUGGAAUUGCCAUUGAUACUGCAGAGCUUGAAUGAGGUUGAGGUUGGCGGAAUGUGACAUGUAGCGGUGAAAUGCUUAGAUAUGUCAUGGAACACCGAUUGCGAAGGCAGCUGACUGGACCUAUAUUGACGCUGAGGCACGAAAGCGUGGGGAGCGAACAGGAUUAGAUACCCCUGUAGUC